UUUGGAAUUAAAUACAUUUUUAAAAUCUUAAAAUAGCUUCAAGAUGUAUUUGAAAAGCAAGUUGGCUGCAUAUUGUACUGUCUCCAAUAAAACACUCCAAUUAUUCUUUUGAUACAGAAUUCCAUUUUGGAAAGUUCUAAACAAAUGGUAUGUGCCAACAUGCCUUUAAAUGUACUUAAGGCUUUUUUUAUCACAUCUAGUACUGAAUAGGUCUGGGAAAGAUUUUGUAUCUCUAAGCUAGUCUUUGAGUUUUUAAAUUACAGGGGCCAGCACUGGAACAAUAGUAAUUCUGGUCCACGCAGCCAUGCAUGCUGCAGGAAAUCCUUCAGCUUUGUCUCUGGGUAUGCUGUUGCUGUUAGUAUCUUCAUGCAGCUUUAGAAACAUUUUAUGUUUUCUUAUGCACUAACUUCAUUAAAACGAUUUUGUUUCAGGCUGAAAGGAUUUCUGCUUCUCCAAUUCAGAAAUAUUUAACUUAAAAAAAAAAAAAUAAUUCGCAAGUGAGUAAGCAGAGGCUUUACCAGUAAGCAUGUGCUUCAAGUCAAACUUGCAUUUCCUUCGUUCUUAGCUGGGUUCCACCUACGUGGUAGGACACAGCACUACCUCCAUCUGCCUUUAAGUAAUUCAGCAUUACAACAUUCUUCCUAAACCAUGCAAUCUCUGGUUUAAAAAAAAAAUUAAAAAAAAUACCACCAACCCUCCAAACCCACGACCUAAUGUAAUAAAUGUUUCCUCUAGCCCCAUGCUAGAUGUGCCUUUAAUGCUAAUUAAGCAGCACAGCUGCUUAAUUAGCCAACAUUGGCUGGCAAAACCCAGCCGUGAGGAAGGUUUGUCUUCCUUCCUUCCCUGGGAGAGGAGGGCUGCAGCUAGAGAAGGGGUGAGCCCUUUAGGGCCGUGUGGGGGCAUUUCCACCCCUGUGCUGGUGCCCUGGGCACCUCUUCUCUGAUCCUAGGUCAGCAAGUGGAGGAGACGAUGUGACAUGGUGAGGGACAAGGAGCGCAGAGAGGAUGGCUUGGCUGGGUUUCAGCAUUUGUGACUUCAGACGCUUGGCAGCCUGCAGCUGAGCUUGGAAAAUGGGCGUUUUUUAAAUGUUACUCAGAAGGUGAAGUUUCUAUAUAUUCCUUCUGCAGAGGAUGUUUAGUAAUGUGCUUAUGGAUGCUGCCCUUGGACCCAGGGGGAUGGGCUCUUGAAAAAUCAUUCUCCUGAUCUGGAGCUGGAGGGAAACUUCUGCCCUUGGGGGGGGACAAAAGAUGUGAGCAGGUACGGAGGAGCUCUGCUCCCCCUGCAAAACCCAGCAAGGGAAACCAGCCUGGAAACGCUAGCUGAGCAGCUUGGCAGCCAGCUUUUACUUUGACAGGGGAGCACAGCACAGGGUCAUUCCUGCGUCUGCUAGACAUUGUCACACCACAGGCAAAUGCUGAGCUAAUUUCCUCCCAUUGUCUUUGGGGAAGCGCGAGUGCUGCAGAGGGGAUGUCGAGGUCCCCUGGAAGCUCGUGCUGUGCCUCCUUCCAUAGUUAAACAAACCUCUGCUGCUUCCCUGGUGAGCCUUCCGAGAGGCGUUCUGCCGAGACUCCCAUGUCUCAGCCACGGCGGAGGAGUUCUUAUUGCUUCCUUGUGGGGGUAGCUAAUGCCGAAAUAAUUUCACUCUUGGCAGACGCAGCCUAGGAGUGAUAAAAGGGAGCCAAAGGAGUGUACAGGAGUUGCUAGGCUGUACUCCCUAAAUUCCUGGAGCCAGCACCACCUCUCGCUUUUCUUCUUCCUCUCCUAAUCUUUCAGCC
Long non-coding RNA from Anser brachyrhynchus (Pink-footed goose), 1775 nucleotides. NCBI's taxonomy places the organism in Eukaryota, Metazoa, Chordata, Aves, Anseriformes, Anatidae. The record is from Ensembl.